UCCCUGGUUGUCCAGUGGUUAGGACUUGGCACUUUCACUGCUGUGGCCUGGGUUGGAUCCCCGCUUGGGUA
This 71-nucleotide transfer RNA is filed under the name Ovis aries (sheep). It matches the Rfam family "tRNA". Rfam says of the family: Transfer RNA (tRNA) molecules are approximately 80 nucleotides in length. Lineage: Eukaryota; Metazoa; Chordata; Mammalia; Artiodactyla; Bovidae. The record is from Rfam by way of RNAcentral.